GGAGUUGGCCAGGCAAUCGCUGCUCUCAGUUUUGAGGGGAGAGGAAAGUCCGGGCUCCAAAGGGCAGGGUGCCAGAUAACUUCUGGGCGGCGCGAGCCGACGACCAGUGCAGCAGAGAGUAGACCGCCUAAGCGCAUUAGCGCCGGUAAGGGUGAAAGGGUGCGGUAAGAGCGCACCGCGCGCCUGGCAACAGGUUGUGGCACGGUAAACUCCACCCGGAGCAAGACCAAGUAGGAUCCCAUAACGUGUGGCCCGCAUGGGGAUCGGGUAGGUUGCUUGAGCCAGUGAGUGAUUGCUGGCCUAGAGGAAUGAUUGCCCGCGACAGAACCCGGCUUAUCGGCCAACUCCACCC
RNAcentral lists this RNase P RNA (352 nucleotides) under Alteromonas aestuariivivens. RNAcentral describes it as "Bacterial RNase P class A". It matches the Rfam family "Bacterial RNase P class A". Rfam says of the family: Ribonuclease P (RNase P) is a ubiquitous endoribonuclease, found in archaea, bacteria and eukarya as well as chloroplasts and mitochondria. Its best characterised activity is the generation of mature 5'-ends of tRNAs by cleaving the 5'-leader elements of precursor-tRNAs. The record is from Rfam by way of RNAcentral. Lineage: Bacteria; Pseudomonadati; Pseudomonadota; Gammaproteobacteria; Alteromonadales; Alteromonadaceae.